ACCCGGCUGGCUCAGUCAGAGGAGCAUGAGACUCUUGAUCUGGGGGUUGUGAGUUCAAGCCCCGUGUUGGGUG
This is a non-coding RNA of Ailuropoda melanoleuca (giant panda), 73 nucleotides long. The record is from Rfam. NCBI's taxonomy places the organism in Eukaryota, Metazoa, Chordata, Mammalia, Carnivora, Ursidae.